GCAUGGGAAAAAAGAGUUUAUGUGUGUAAAGAUACGGAGUAGGCCCUCCCUCUUCCUGUGUGACGUUCCCCAUCAACCAGAAAAUACUUAGAUUUCCUGGGUUCUUUUUCUGGAAGUGGGUGGGUGGUUUCUUGGUAGGACUAGGACCAGGGAGACCAGGGUUCAAAUCCCCACUAAACCAUAAAAGUUCUUCAAGCCUGUGACCUCAGCCUAAUCUGCCUCACAGGGUUGUGAGGAUAAAAUGGCGUGAGGCGGGGAGAGAACCUUGCACACCGCCUUGGAGGAAAGCAGAGGCAAUAUAAAUACCGUAAGUGGGAGAGUUCAGUCAGUAAAGCAUGAGACUCCUAAUCUCAGGGUCAUGGGUUUGAGCCCCACAUUCCUGCAUUGCAGGGGGUUGGACUAGAUGACCCUCGUGAUCCUUUCCAACUCCACAAUUUUAUACUUUUAAAUAAUAAAUAUAAAAUAAACACAUUGUUCCUUUGGUGUUGAGUCUCCAUCUUUGGACAAUGGGUUCUUUCCAGGUAAAUUGUACUCAAAGUAGAUUCACUGACCUGAGUUAAGUCAUGUCCAUAAGUCUACUCUGAGUAGGAUUAACAUGGGCUGCAACCUAUUGUUACUCAUGUGCAAGUGCACACCUGUAUGUAUGUCCUCCCCACCCCCCGGCUGGAAAUUCAAACCAGCUGUUGUAGGGAAAAGUAAAGGGAUAUAAUCUUUGAGCCCCAGCACUUGAGGAGCCUGUUUCUCAGAGGCAGAGCAGCUGUAGACAAUACUGAGCUAAAUGGACCAAAUGUUCACUCAAUAUAAAGCAGCCUGCUAUCCUAUCAUACCCCAAGUGUCACAGAAAAAACAUAACAUCCCAGGUUGGGGGGGGGGGGGCACGAAGGGGCCUCAGCCCCUAGCAGUUGGCUCCUAUGGGUCUGAUUUGAUCCCAGAUUGUCCUGCUUUUCCUUAGGACGUUCUUAUUUUCAUCAGAGAAAUGUUGGAGGGUAUAGAGUUAUCUGAUUCCCGAGCCAACGAGAUAAGUAACUGAAGGCAGUUGCAUCUGAAGGCAGCCCUGUAUAGGGAAGUUUUUUAAUGUACAAUUUUUUAUUAUGUUUCAGAUAUUUUGAAAGCUGCCCAGAGUAGCUGGGGCAACCCAGUCAGAUGGGCGGGGUGUAAAUAAUAAAAAUAUUAUCAUCAUUAUGGUGGAAUAGGACGUCCCUAUUUUCAUCGGAGAAAUGUUGGAGGGUAUGAAGGAGGCAGGCAGGCGCGAACUGAGGUUGGUGAGGCAGGGCCUGCUUUGCCCUAAUGGACGAGCAGCUGUGAGCUUGAACUGCCUCUCAUCCCUCCGCUCCAGGCGGUUUAUCCCAAGCCUCUCAUUCCAGCCCCUAAACUUUACAGGCCAAAGUGAGCUCCCUUUCUCUCAGCACCCACCAUGCAGGCCCUGGAACAGUUUCCCCACAGUCACAGGGUGUGUCCUUGGUGGAAAAGGUAUUUGCCAACGCCAAAUGCAUAUGGAAGCGCAAGAGAUCUUGGAAGGAGCUCCCUUCUCUUCCUGGGCUAAUCCACAAGGCCUCGCCGUGCCUUUUACCUCCCAAGACUGGCCACACCACCUCUUUGUUUUGCAAGUUUCCUCUAAUCCAGUUUGUUGUUUCUCGUCAGGUGGUCUGAAAAUCCAAGAUUUGGACAACGUUCAAGGGAAGAUUUACUCUCUCUUUUUGUCACUUUAUUUCUAGUUCACUUAAGCUGCUUCUUUCCGUUCCGUCGCUUCCUUGUUUCUGUUCUGUUGAUUCCCCAAUCCCCGCCCCACCUAUGGAGAAAGGACCUCAGCUCAGUGGUAGAGAGCAUUAGCUACGCACGC
This 1840-nucleotide long non-coding RNA is filed under the name Podarcis lilfordi (Lilford's wall lizard). The record is from RNAcentral. Lineage: Eukaryota; Metazoa; Chordata; Lepidosauria; Squamata; Lacertidae.